GCCAGAGUGGUGUAGUGGUUUCAGUGUUGGACUACAAUUCUGGAAACUGGGGUUCGAUUCCCCGCAUGGCCA
Non-coding RNA from Phrynosoma platyrhinos (Desert horned lizard), 72 nucleotides. Lineage: Eukaryota; Metazoa; Chordata; Lepidosauria; Squamata; Phrynosomatidae. The record is from the annotation of a GenBank genome assembly.